GGCCUUUUGGAAGCUCAUUAGCUUCGGAUUCCAUGGGAACUCCGAAGUUAAGCGAGUUUGGGCUAGAGCAAUCCCAAGAUGGGUGACCCACUGGAAAGUUGCUCGUGAGUUCC
RNAcentral lists this ribosomal RNA (113 nucleotides) under Prunus dulcis (almond). Lineage: Eukaryota; Viridiplantae; Streptophyta; Magnoliopsida; Rosales; Rosaceae. The record is from RNAcentral.